UUAAGCGACUAAGCGUACACGGUGGAUGCCCUGGCAGUCAGAGGCGAUGAAGGACGUGCUAAUCUGCGAUAAGCGUCGGUAAGGUGAUAUGAACCGUUAUAACCGGCGAUUUCCGAAUGGGGAAACCCAGUGUGAUUCGUCACACUAUCAUUAACUGAAUCCAUAGGUUAAUGAGGCGAACCGGGGGAACUGAAACAUCUAAGUACCCCGAGGAAAAGAAAUCAACCGAGAUUCCCCCAGUAGCGGCGAGCGAACGGGGAGCAGCCCAGAGCCUGAAUCAGUGUGUGUGUUAGUGGAAGCGUCUGGAAAGGCGCGCGAUACAGGGUGACAGCCCCGUACACAAAAAUGCACAUACUGUGAGCUCGAUGAGUAGGGCGGGACACGUGGUAUCCUGUCUGAAUAUGGGGGGACCAUCCUCCAAGGCUAAAUACUCCUGACUGACCGAUAGUGAACCAGUACCGUGAGGGAAAGGCGAAAAGAACCCCGGCGAGGGGAGUGAAAAAGAACCUGAAACCGUGUACGUACAAGCAGUGGGAGCACGCUUAGGCGUGUGACUGCGUACCUUUUGUAUAAUGGGUCAGCGACUUAUAUUCUGUAGCAAGGUUAACCGAAUAGGGGAGCCGAAGGGAAACCGAGUCUUAACUGGGCGUUAAGUUGCAGGGUAUAGACCCGAAACCCGGUGAUCUAGCCAUGGGCAGGUUGAAGGUUGGGUAACACUAACUGGAGGACCGAACCGACUAAUGUUGAAAAAUUAGCGGAUGACUUGUGGCUGGGGGUGAAAGGCCAAUCAAACCGGGAGAUAGCUGGUUCUCCCCGAAAGCUAUUUAGGUAGCGCCUCGUGAAUUCAUCUCCGGGGGUAGAGCACUGUUUCGGCAAGGGGGUCAUCCCGACUUACCAACCCGAUGCAAACUGCGAAUACCGGAGAAUGUUAUCACGGGAGACACACGGCGGGUGCUAACGUCCGUCGUGAAGAGGGAAACAACCCAGACCGCCAGCUAAGGUCCCAAAGUCAUGGUUAAGUGGGAAACGAUGUGGGAAGGCCCAGACAGCCAGGAUGUUGGCUUAGAAGCAGCCAUCAUUUAAAGAAAGCGUAAUAGCUCACUGGUCGAGUCGGCCUGCGCGGAAGAUGUAACGGGGCUAAACCAUGCACCGAAGCUGCGGCAGCGACGCUUAUGCGUUGUUGGGUAGGGGAGCGUUCUGUAAGCCUGCGAAGGUGUGCUGUGAGGCAUGCUGGAGGUAUCAGAAGUGCGAAUGCUGACAUAAGUAACGAUAAAGCGGGUGAAAAGCCCGCUCGCCGGAAGACCAAGGGUUCCUGUCCAACGUUAAUCGGGGCAGGGUGAGUCGACCCCUAAGGCGAGGCCGAAAGGCGUAGUCGAUGGGAAACAGGUUAAUAUUCCUGUACUUGGUGUUACUGCGAAGGGGGGACGGAGAAGGCUAUGUUGGCCGGGCGACGGUUGUCCCGGUUUAAGCGUGUAGGCUGGUUUUCCAGGCAAAUCCGGAAAAUCAAGGCUGAGGCGUGAUGACGAGGCACUACGGUGCUGAAGCAACAAAUGCCCUGCUUCCAGGAAAAGCCUCUAAGCAUCAGGUAACAUCAAAUCGUACCCCAAACCGACACAGGUGGUCAGGUAGAGAAUACCAAGGCGCUUGAGAGAACUCGGGUGAAGGAACUAGGCAAAAUGGUGCCGUAACUUCGGGAGAAGGCACGCUGAUAUGUAGGUGAAGUCCCUCGCGGAUGGAGCUGAAAUCAGUCGAAGAUACCAGCUGGCUGCAACUGUUUAUUAAAAACACAGCACUGUGCAAACACGAAAGUGGACGUAUACGGUGUGACGCCUGCCCGGUGCCGGAAGGUUAAUUGAUGGGGUCAGCGCAAGCGAAGCUCUUGAUCGAAGCCCCGGUAAACGGCGGCCGUAACUAUAACGGUCCUAAGGUAGCGAAAUUCCUUGUCGGGUAAGUUCCGACCUGCACGAAUGGCGUAAUGAUGGCCAGGCUGUCUCCACCCGAGACUCAGUGAAAUUGAACUCGCUGUGAAGAUGCAGUGUACCCGCGGCAAGACGGAAAGACCCCGUGAACCUUUACUAUAGCUUGACACUGAACAUUGAGCCUUGAUGUGUAGGAUAGGUGGGAGGCUUUGAAGUGUGGACGCCAGUCUGCAUGGAGCCGACCUUGAAAUACCACCCUUUAAUGUUUGAUGUUCUAACGUUGACCCGUAAUCCGGGUUGCGGACAGUGUCUGGUGGGUAGUUUGACUGGGGCGGUCUCCUCCUAAAGAGUAACGGAGGAGCACGAAGGUUGGCUAAUCCUGGUCGGACAUCAGGAGGUUAGUGCAAUGGCAUAAGCCAGCUUGACUGCGAGCGUGACGGCGCGAGCAGGUGCGAAAGCAGGUCAUAGUGAUCCGGUGGUUCUGAAUGGAAGGGCCAUCGCUCAACGGAUAAAAGGUACUCCGGGGAUAACAGGCUGAUACCGCCCAAGAGUUCAUAUCGACGGCGGUGUUUGGCACCUCGAUGUCGGCUCAUCACAUCCUGGGGCUGAAGUAGGUCCCAAGGGUAUGGCUGUUCGCCAUUUAAAGUGGUACGCGAGCUGGGUUUAGAACGUCGUGAGACAGUUCGGUCCCUAUCUGCCGUGGGCGCUGGAGAACUGAGGGGGGCUGCUCCUAGUACGAGAGGACCGGAGUGGACGCAUCACUGGUGUUCGGGUUGUCAUGCCAAUGGCACUGCCCGGUAGCUAAAUGCGGAAGAGAUAAGUGCUGAAAGCAUCUAAGCACGAAACUUGCCCCGAGAUGAGUUCUCCCUGA
Molecule: ribosomal RNA, 2790 nt
Filed under: Escherichia coli
Lineage: Bacteria; Pseudomonadati; Pseudomonadota; Gammaproteobacteria; Enterobacterales; Enterobacteriaceae
Description: bacterial LSU rRNA
Rfam family: Bacterial large subunit ribosomal RNA
Source: RNAcentral